RNAcentral lists this ribosomal RNA (344 nucleotides) under Onthophagus borneensis. Its description in RNAcentral is "partial 16S ribosomal RNA". Lineage: Eukaryota; Metazoa; Arthropoda; Insecta; Coleoptera; Scarabaeidae. The record is from RNAcentral.
GCCGCGAUAACCUGAUCGUGCAAAGGUAGCAUAAUAAUUAGUUUCUUAAUUGGGAACUGGAAUGAAAGGUCGAACGAGAAAAAUACUGUCUCAAUUUUAUUUUAAUUAGAAUUUUAUUUUUAAGUUAAAAAGCUUAAAUAUUUUUAAAAGACGAGAAGACCCUAUAGAGUUUUAUAUUUGUUAAUAUAUUUUUUAGUUUAAGAAUUUAAUUUUAGAAUUUAUUAAUUAGUAUUUGGUUGGGGUGAUUGGAAAAUUUAAUAAACUUUUUUUAAUUUAAACCAUUGAUAUAUGAUUAAUUGAUCCAUUUUUUAUGAUUAUAAGAUUAAAUUACCUUAGGGAAAAAA